Non-coding RNA from Cyanistes caeruleus (blue tit), 1660 nucleotides. The record is from RefSeq and is a predicted model, not a curated record. NCBI's taxonomy places the organism in Eukaryota, Metazoa, Chordata, Aves, Passeriformes, Paridae.
CUAAAAAAAACCCCAAAGGAGUUGAAAAUUCCCCUUGGAGAGUGUCAGCAGGCAUCCAGAAUACAUCUCCAGGGUCACUUAAUUCCCUGGAUCCUACCCAACUAUUAUUGAAGUUAAUUGAAAAAAACUCUCAUUGCCUUGAAGAGGUUUUGGAUCCAACUCAAAUGGCUCAGUGGGAGCAGAUUACAAGUAGGAACCCCACUGUGCAAUUCCAGCCAUCUGCCUAUGGGAGGGAUGCCUGUCUUCACUGUCAUGGUGUCUCCAAAACCUGUGCAAGAUUUCUGAUCUGCUUCAGUGCUAAGGAUGAUUUAAAUGAAUCUGUGUUACUCUGAAUGAAAACAAAUUGGGAGUUCUUGCAUGAGGCACCAAGCUUUCAGAAGCCAUACGCCCACAAACACCCACCAAGCUGUCUCCAUCCUCCUCUGCGAAAGAAAGAAAUUGCUGCUGAGAAAUGAUGAGAAGAGCUGCUUGCAAAGAGAUGAGGCUGAGUAAAAUGCAGCAGGACAUGGGAGUGUGCUCAUGGCUUCUCAUUAGUGGAGGAAUCUGUACAGAAUAUCACAGCAUACACAGGCUCAUGUGACAGCUCCUGCACCUCCAGGCUGUAAUACAGUCAAGCUGGGAGGACACAAAAGCAAGAAAUUUUGCUUUACUCUCCUAAUAUUUUUUUCAGCAGGUUUUAACUUACACAGUCUCUCACAAUAUACUGACAACUACCUUCAAAGAUGAUAUUUUAAGUGAAAUCAAAUUGCUUUGUGAGAGAAGGUUUUGUGGCUAUAUUUUCAAGCCAGAAUUUUAAAAAUACGAAGCCAAAAAGCAUUUCAUUCUAUGUUAUCUAUUUUAAUGUAAAAAAAACCCUCACCCACUAACAAACCCAGCCCUGGUCUCUGUUUUCUACAGGAAGCAGUAUUAGUUUGAUCUAGUUUUGUGGUUUGUUUCUGUUUGAUUUUUUUUGGGGGGUUUCAGCAGUGAUUUAUUCAGUUACAGGAAAGUAUAAAGCUGCUGUUAUUUACAGAAAAAUGAAACAAAUGUUUGUAGUAGAAUCAUAGAUUUUUAUUUUCAGAAAUGUAUCCAGUAAACACUAUGAAGCAUUGAUACAUACAUCAAAGCAAGAAAAUUAUACAGGCUCUUACAGACUGUACGGAACAGAUGCUAAGUAGGCUCGUAAAGGAUUUUGAACAGUAUAUAUUUGACCUUAGAAAAUGCAUAAAUAAAAAUGCAAUAAAAAAACCUAAAAGGAAUAAAGCAUUUACAUCUUGUCUGCUUUGUUACCAUGGUCCUGUUUCAGAAAAACUCUUGUGUUUAUGAGAGAUUACAAUUUCUAAUGACAUCCUUGGUAAAAAGAACCACUAUACUAUUCUUUAAAAGAUUUGUUAUUUUCCCAGUGAAGUCCAUGGGAUUUUACCUUUGCAAGACAUGUAAACCAAUAAUUAGCUAUACUCGUGUCUGCAUAAGCUGCGUAUCGUGGCUGCUGAAAUGAGAGAAAUAUAGGCUGAAAUGAACUGAACUGUCUUUCUCUUAAAAUUAGUAAGAUUGACAUCAAGUGGUGGAUUUGUCACUGUACUGCAUGUUCUGAUAAGCAGAACUUCUUUACCUCAACUGUGUACAACAUAAUUUUUUUUCUAUUUUUAAACAUUAAUCUAUAAAUAGGCUCUCUAAUGCU